AUUGAACGCUGGCGGCAGGCCCAACACAUGCAAGUCGAACGGUAACAGGAAGAAGCUUGCUUCUUUGCUGACGAGUGGCGGACGGGUGAGUAAUGUCUGGGAAACUGCCUGAUGGAGGGGGAUAACUACUGGAAACGGUAGCUAAUACCGCAUAACGUCGCAAGACCAAAGAGGGGGACCUUCGGGCCUCUUGCCAUCGGAUGUGCCCAGAUGGGAUUAGCUAGUAGGUGGGGUAACGGCUCACCUAGGCGACGAUCCCUAGCUGGUCUGAGAGGAUGACCAGCCACACUGGAACUGAGACACGGUCCAGACUCCUACGGGAGGCAGCAGUGGGGAAUAUUGCACAAUGGGCGCAAGCCUGAUGCAGCCAUGCCGCGUGUUUGAAGAAGGCCUUCGGGUUGUAAAGUACUUUCAGCGGGGAGGAAGGGAGUAAAGUUAAUACCUUUGCUCAUUGACGUUACCCGCAGAAGAAGCACCGGCUAACUCCGUG
This 490-nucleotide ribosomal RNA is filed under the name uncultured bacterium. RNAcentral describes it as "partial 16S ribosomal RNA". It matches the Rfam family "Bacterial small subunit ribosomal RNA", at positions 30 to 507 of the family's 1533-position model. The record is from RNAcentral.